GCCGAGGACAAGGUUCUUUGCAAGUGUUGGCGAGACAUUGGACAAGACCCAAAGAUGGGCGCCGAGCAAAAGCAUUCAACCUUUUGGACUCGUGUGCACCGUGAGUUUCAUGAGCGCAAGAAGUUUUCACCUUACCAAUUUGUGAGCACGCGUGGGUGAGUCUCCAUUUCCAAGCGGUGGAGGGUGAUCCAACAAGAGUGCAACAAGUUUUGCGCCACCCUUGAGAGUGUCAAGGCCCGCCCCAUGAGCGGCAUCGGCGUGCAAGCCAUGGUAUGA
Molecule: ribosomal RNA, 276 nt
Filed under: Triticum aestivum (bread wheat)
Lineage: Eukaryota; Viridiplantae; Streptophyta; Magnoliopsida; Poales; Poaceae
Description: partial small subunit ribosomal RNA
Source: RNAcentral